Molecule: long non-coding RNA, 838 nt
Organism: Sapajus apella (tufted capuchin)
Lineage: Eukaryota; Metazoa; Chordata; Mammalia; Primates; Cebidae
Exons: 2
Source: RefSeq, a predicted model, not a curated record
AAAAAACACAAAAUGCAAGAAUGCAACCAGAAAUUAAAGCCUCUAUUCGUAUGGGAUCUUCCUGAGGACAGAAUGGCUAAACUGAAUCCUUUAUGGCCAUAAGUUGAAGGCAUGAAGAGUAAGGAGUCAGGUUCAGCCUCUAGGUCUCUAGGAGGCAAACACAUCCUUGCCCUUCAAGAACCAGAUCGAAGAUUGCCUACUCUGUGAAAACUUCUCUGAUAAGCCCAGGCUGACCCAGUUAUGUGUAUUUUCAGAAUUCUCACUGCUGUUUAUUUAGUGAAAUGUUUACCCCAGAGAAUUGCAUGUUAUGUUUCUGGAUUUCAACAAAACAGUUCAUAAUAGACUGAAAUGUGUAGAGAGGAAGCAAAUGUCUUUUUUUGUUUUGGACACUUGCUAGGUAAAGCAAUGAAUUAAUGAAUUAAUGAAUAUCACAGGCUUGGGUUUCAGUAAAUUCACACAGUUGAUAUGUGUACUUUGUGUUAAAAUUGUUGAAACUCAUACUAAAGGCGGGCGGUAAAAGAACAUUAAUUUAACUGCUUUCUAAAUAACUGGAGGCAAACAGUAGUAACAAGAAGGGGGCACCAAUUUCUGAAUAAUGGAAUGUUUAAAACAUACUAUAAGAAGAAGAAAGUAUACGUUACUGCAUCAACAUCAUAGCAAAAUAGAUAUUGGGCAGAAACACACUGCAUAUUGCCCAUUUUUCUCUCUGAAUAAAUCAAAGGGAUCUAAUCUAAUCACAGAAAAGGAGAUAUAAAUGAUAACUGACAAAACCCUGCCUGAAAGGAAUCUUUCAUAUCAGGCAAAACACUGUAUUGGGAUUCAGACGGUUAUGUAAAUA